AAGAAAAGGCCACCAAUGAAAGGAGUGAUAACUGGGGAAGCAGUGAUAACGGAGUGAUAACGGAGUGAUAAGGAGUGAUAACUGGGGAAGCAGUAAAUAUAGAAGUUGACCAGCUGAGGGGAAAGAUUCCCGGUGUAAGUGAUGCUCGUCGUUUGAUGAGACGCAGACAGGGUGGCGAGACUCAGACAGGGUGGGGAGACUCAGACAGACAGGGUGGGGAGACUCAGACAGGGUGGGGAGAGUGGGGAAACUGAAGAGUCAUUGUCUGUUCUUUUGAGUUUUGAAGUUGAGUCUUUGCCCGACAAAGUGAAGUUAGGAUAUACAAGUUAUCCUGUACGAGAGUAUGUGCUGAAUACAUUACGAUGUUACAGAUGUCAAGCUUAUGGCCAUGUGGCAGCAGUGUGUAGGAGGGAGGUUCCUAGGUGUGAGAAGUGUGCAGAAGGGCAUGAAACAAAAUAAACCAAUAAAUAUAUUUACUCAUUGUAUUUUUUCCCCCAAGUAUCUUUCUCAACGGGUCUAUUGUCUCAUAUUUUAUUUUGUACUCUGUUUUUGUUCCUAAAAAAAUUCAUAAAAAUACAAUACCACUCAAUAGUGUUUCAGACAAAACCAAUGUUUAUGAAUGUGGUUAACUACGUGUUAGAAUGAACCGAAGGAGAUAGCUAGACACUUUGGGAGGAAACAGUUAUCAUUUGUCCAAAAGUUGAAAUGUUCUAGUAAAGCUCAAGUCACUGAAAGUUCAGAGAAGUGCACAGAAGUGUUUCAUAUCCCCCUCUCUCAAAAGCUAUAGGGGUAAAAGGUAUACUUUCAUAUCCCCCUCUCUCAAAAGCUAUAGGGGUAAAAGGUAUACUUUCAUAUCCCCCUCUCUCAAAAGCUAUAG
Molecule: long non-coding RNA, 877 nt
Filed under: Salmo salar (Atlantic salmon)
Lineage: Eukaryota; Metazoa; Chordata; Actinopteri; Salmoniformes; Salmonidae
Description: lncRNA (ENSSSAG00000098416.1, ENSSSAG00000101707.1)
Source: RNAcentral